Molecule: transfer RNA, 71 nt
Filed under: Ixodes scapularis (black-legged tick)
Lineage: Eukaryota; Metazoa; Arthropoda; Arachnida; Ixodida; Ixodidae
Rfam family: tRNA
About the family: Transfer RNA (tRNA) molecules are approximately 80 nucleotides in length. Their secondary structure includes four short double-helical elements and three loops (D, anti-codon, and T loops).
Source: Rfam by way of RNAcentral
GCGUCGGUGGUAUAGUGGUUAGCAUACUGCCUUCCAAGCAGUUGACUCAAGUUCAAUUCCCGGCCGACGCA